AAAAAUAUUAUCGUUAUGGCUCAUAUAUACCCUAGAAUAAGGCUAGGGAGUCUCUACCAGAUAACCGUAAAUUGUCUGACUAUGGGUGGAACUAACUUGUAU
RNAcentral lists this non-coding RNA (102 nucleotides) under Gottschalkia purinilytica. RNAcentral describes it as "Clostridium purinilyticum Guanine sequence". It matches the Rfam family "Purine riboswitch aptamer". Rfam says of the family: Riboswitches are metabolite binding domains within certain messenger RNAs that serve as precision sensors for their corresponding targets. Allosteric rearrangement of mRNA structure is mediated by ligand binding, and this results in modulation of gene expression. A class of riboswitches that selectively recognises guanine and becomes saturated at concentrations as low as 5 nM. Lineage: Bacteria; Bacillati; Bacillota; Tissierellia; Tissierellales; Gottschalkiaceae. The record is from Rfam by way of RNAcentral.